GAUGAACGCUAGCUACAGGCUUAUCACAUGCAAGUCGAGGGGAAACGGCAUUUAGUGCUUGCACUGAAUGGACGUCGACCGGCGCACGGGUGAGUAACGCGUAUCCAACCUACCCAUUACUGUGGGAUAACCUGCCGAAAGGCAGACUAAUACCGCAUAGUCUUCGAUGACGGCAUCAGAUUUGAAGUAAAGAUUUAUCGGUAAUGGAUGGGGAUGCGUCUGAUUAGCUUGUUGGCGGGGUAACGGCCCACCAAGGCAACGAUCAGUAGGGGUUCUGAGAGGAAGGUCCCCCACAUUGGAACUGAGACACGGUCCAAACUCCUACGGGAGGCAGCAGUGAGGAAUAUUGGUCAAUGGGCGGGAGCCUGAACCAGCCAAGUAGCGUGCAGGAUGACGGCCCUAUGGGUUGUAAACUGCUUUUGUAUGGGGAUAAAGUCAAUCACGUGUGAUUGUUUGCAGGUACCAUACGAAUAAGGACCGGCUAAUUCCAUGC
Molecule: ribosomal RNA, 493 nt
Filed under: uncultured Prevotella sp.
Lineage: Bacteria; Pseudomonadati; Bacteroidota; Bacteroidia; Bacteroidales; Prevotellaceae
Description: bacterial SSU rRNA
Rfam family: Bacterial small subunit ribosomal RNA
Source: RNAcentral